Molecule: ribosomal RNA, 254 nt
Filed under: uncultured bacterium
Lineage: Bacteria
Description: partial 16S ribosomal RNA
Rfam family: Bacterial small subunit ribosomal RNA
Source: RNAcentral
UACGUAGGGUGCGAGCGUUAAUCGGAAUUACUGGGCGUAAAGGGUGAGUAGGCGGAUAUAUAAGUUAGAUGUGAAAUCCCCGAGCUUAACUUGGGAACUGCAUUUAAGACUGUAUGUCUAGAGUUUGUUAGAGGGGGGGUAGAAUUCCAGGUGUAGCAGUGAAAUGCGUAGAGAUUUGGAGGAAUACCGAUGGCGAAGGCAGCCCCCUGGGAUAAGACUGACGCUGAAUCACGAAAGCGUGGGUAGCAAACAGG